This 286-nucleotide long non-coding RNA is filed under the name Pan troglodytes (chimpanzee). Its description in RNAcentral is "long non-coding RNA NONPTRT013818". The record is from RNAcentral. Lineage: Eukaryota; Metazoa; Chordata; Mammalia; Primates; Hominidae.
UGAUAUAUUCUUAGUUAUUAGGGAUGUUAGGGAAAAAAUAAGUGAUGAAAAUAGCCAGAAAGUAUGGUCAGAUGUGGGUACCAAAGUGAAGAAGAAAAAAAUGGAGAUAAGUUUCUUAAUAGUGGAAAAAUAGAAUAUUGUUACAUUAAUUUUCUUGGUCAGAGGAACUUAACCUCUGAUCUCUUUAUGUUUCAAAAAGAGUAUGGUGUGCAUGUGUGUGUAUUUGUGUGGGUAUGCAUGUGAAUGCACGUGCGUAUGCAUGGGUGUGUGGUGCGUGCUGGUUUGU